RNAcentral lists this ribosomal RNA (250 nucleotides) under uncultured prokaryote. RNAcentral describes it as "partial 16S ribosomal RNA". It matches the Rfam family "Bacterial small subunit ribosomal RNA", at positions 525 to 775 of the family's 1533-position model. The record is from RNAcentral.
ACGUAGGUGGCGAGCGUUGUCCGGAAUUAUUGGGCGUAAAGCGCGCGCAGGUGGUUAUACAAGUCUCAUUUAAAAGUGCUGAGCUCAACUCAGUGAUGGGUGAGAAACUGUAUGACUUGAGUGCAGGAGGGGUAGGCGGAAUUCCUAGUGUAGCGGUGAAAUGCGUAGAUAUUAGGAGGAACACCAGUGGCGAAGGCGGCCUACUGGACUGCAACUGACACUGAGGCGCGAAAGCCAGGGGAGCAAACGG